This is a long non-coding RNA of Astyanax mexicanus (Mexican tetra), 1178 nucleotides long. RefSeq lists it as uncharacterized. The record is from RefSeq and is a predicted model, not a curated record. NCBI's taxonomy places the organism in Eukaryota, Metazoa, Chordata, Actinopteri, Characiformes, Acestrorhamphidae. The transcript has 4 exons.
CAGAAUCACAGUGCUGAGGUACAUUUAUGAUCAGAAUCACAGUGCUGAGGUACAUUUAUGAUUAGAAUCACAGUGCUGAGGUACAUUUAUGAUUAGAAUCACAGUGCUGAGGUACAUUUAUGAUUAGAAUCACAGUGCUGGGUACAUUUAUGAUUAAAAUCACAGUGCUGAGGUAAAUGUGUAAUUAGAAUCACAGUGCUGAGGUACAUUUAUGAUUAGAAUCACAGUGCUGAGGUACAUUUAUGAUUAGAAUCACAGUGCUGAGGUACAUUUAUGAUUAGAAUCACAGUGCUGAGGUAAAUUUAUGAUCAGAAUCACAGUGCUGAGGUACAUUUAUGAUCAGAAUCACAGUGCUGAGGUACAUUUAUGAUUAGAAUCACAGUGCUGAGGUAAAUGUUUGAUUAGAAUCACAGUGCUGAGGUACUUUUAUGAUUAAAAUCACAGUGCUGAGGUAAAUUAGUAUAGCGCUACUGAGGUAAAUGUAUUAUUAAAAUCGUAGUGUUGAGCUAAAUGUAUGAUUAAAAUAGCACUGCUGAAGUAAAGUGUUGUCAAACAUAGGUGUUCUUAACUCCCUAUGUUUCACUUACUUAAGUAAAUACCUAUUAUUCCAUGCAGUGGCACUAAUCAAAUGAAUUAUGGCAAACCUGGGGUAAAGAAUAGAAGUUGUGAAAUUCAAUUUAUUAGUAAAACUGACACAAAUAAAUCCAUAAUUCCAGUGCUUUACUUAUUUAGGAGCAUUUCAUCUUCUUCAGUAACACAGAUGCCAUAAAGUAUCAUAGAGAAUUGUCUUGUUAUAUAUAUUGAGUAUUGCAGGAUCACAAUAUUGUGAUACCAUUACGGUGAUAAUUUUGUACUGUGAUAUCAUCAUAUUAUGAGAUGCUCUGCAGAAGGCUGAACUUUUCCAGCUCGGUACGGCAAACAGCAGAUAGAAGAGAUAAACUCUCACCCAGCAGUCAAAUCUCUACACCGAGACAUGACAUCACCCACAGUAGGCCCCUAGUUCACACAGAAUACAAUGGACACACACACACACACUCUUACGGGAACCCACCGCUUAUCCCUGUGAACACUCACUUUCUCUUUCAGUCCGGUCCCACCCUCUCACUCUACAGCUGAAUUUCUUUCAUUCUACUGUUUCCAUUCUUCCUUCCUCACUCUCUCAGACAAUCGCCUCUCUU